GAGGGUAUAGCUCAGUGGUAAAGUGCAUGCUUAGCAUGCAUGAGGUCCUAGGUUCAAUUCCAGUGCCUCCA
RNAcentral lists this transfer RNA (71 nucleotides) under Camelus bactrianus (Bactrian camel). It matches the Rfam family "tRNA". From Rfam's summary of the family: Transfer RNA (tRNA) molecules are approximately 80 nucleotides in length. The record is from Rfam by way of RNAcentral. RNAcentral also lists the same sequence under 2 other names. Lineage: Eukaryota; Metazoa; Chordata; Mammalia; Artiodactyla; Camelidae.